This 318-nucleotide unclassified non-coding RNA is filed under the name Hevea brasiliensis (rubber tree). Lineage: Eukaryota; Viridiplantae; Streptophyta; Magnoliopsida; Malpighiales; Euphorbiaceae. The record is from RNAcentral.
GCUAUUAUUCACUACUACCACAAUUAUCACCCAACUAUUGCAAUCACCACCACGUCUAUUGCCCAAACCAUCAUCAAAAUUAAUACCUGUUUACCUAUACCACCACUUCUAAGUUCUAACCAUUAUUCCGACAAUUGUCAUCACCACAACUAUCAGAAUUAAAUAGUCAUUUAUAUUCUAGUUUUAAUUUAAGCACUUAUUAUUUUAAUUAUAAUUGAGAUCUUGAUCUUUUCAGUAUUAAAAUUAUUUAACUCACAAAUUUUCAGCACUUAAAUCUUCAAUUUUACCAACUGCCGCCUUGACAUGCAAACAAAGAGU